GACGAACGCUGGCGGUGUGCUUAACACAUGCAAGUCGAACGGAAAGGCCCUUUCGUUGGUCCACGAGUGGCGAACGGGUGCGUAACACUUGAGUAACCUGCCCUCAUCUCUGGGAUAAGAGUCGGAAACGGUUGCUAAUACUGGUUAUGAGCCUGCUAUUCAUCUUGUGGGUUGGAAAGUUUUGUUGGUUUGGGAUGGGCUCGCGGCCUAUCAGCUUGUUGGUGAGGUUGUGGCUAACCGAGGCUUCGACGGGUAGCCACCCUGAGAAGCCGACCGGCCACCUUGGGGCUGAGAUAAGGCCCAAAUUCCUACGGGAGGGAGAAGUGGGGAAUAUUGCACAAGGGACGGAAGUCGGAUGCAGCAGCUCCGCGUGCGGGAAGACGGCCUUCGGGUUGUAAACCGCUUUCAAUUGUGACGAAGCUUUUUGUGACGGUAGCAGUAGAAGAAGCACCGGCUAACUACGUG
This 465-nucleotide ribosomal RNA is filed under the name uncultured bacterium. RNAcentral's name for it is "partial 16S ribosomal RNA". It matches the Rfam family "Bacterial small subunit ribosomal RNA", at positions 28 to 507 of the family's 1533-position model. The record is from RNAcentral.